Molecule: ribosomal RNA, 1461 nt
Filed under: uncultured Bordetella sp.
Lineage: Bacteria; Pseudomonadati; Pseudomonadota; Betaproteobacteria; Burkholderiales; Alcaligenaceae
Description: partial 16S-23S ribosomal RNA intergenic spacer
Rfam family: Bacterial small subunit ribosomal RNA
Source: RNAcentral
GGUUCGAUUCUGCCCAGAUUGAACGCUGGCGGGAUGCUUUACACAUGCAAGUCGAACGGCAGCACGGACUUCGGUCUGGUGGCGAGUGGCGAACGGGUGAGUAUGUAUCGGAACGUGCCUAGUAGCGGGGAUAACUACGCGAAAGCGGGUAGCUAAUACCGCAUAAUGGUCUUCGGGAAAGUGGGGACCUUCACAGCCCCAAUUAUUAGAGCGGCCGAUAUCGGAUUAGCUAGUUGGUGGGGUAAUCGGCUCAUCAAGGCGAUGAUCCGUAGCUGGUUUGAGAGGACGACCAGUCGCACUGGGACUGAGACACUGGCCUGACUCCUACGGGGGCAGCAGUGGGGAAUUUUGGACAAUGGGGGAACUCGAUCCAGCCAUCCGCGUGUGCGAUGAAGGCCUUCGUCGAAAGCACUUUGAGGAAAGAAACGGCACGGGAUAAUACCCCCGUGCAACUGACGGUACCUGCAGAAUAAGCACCGGCUAAUCCACGUGCCAGCAGCCGCGGUAAUACGUAGGGUGCAAGCGUUAAUCGGAAUUACUGGGCGUAAAGCGCAGCAGGCGGUUCGGAAAGAAAGAUGUGAAAUCCCAGAGCUUAACUUUGAACUGCAUUUAACUACCGAGCUAGAGUGUCAGAGGGAGUGGAAUUCCGCGUGUAGGCAGUGAAAUGCGUAGAUAUGCGGAGGAACACCGAUGGCGAAGGCAGCCUCCUGGGAUAACACUGACGCUCAUGCACGAAAGCGUGGGGAGCAAACAGGAUUAUACAAUUUCUGGUAGUCCACGCCCUAAAAACGAUGUCAACUAUUGUUGGGGCCUCGGCCUUGUAGCGCAGCCAACGCGGUUGACCGCCUGGGGAGUACGGUCGCAAGAUUAAACUCAAAGGAAUUGACGGGGACCCGCACAAGCGUGGAUGGAUGGAUUAAUUGAUGCAACGCGAAAAACCUUACCUACCCUUGACAUGUCUGGAAUCCCGAAGAGAUUUGGGAGUACUGCAAGAGAACCGGAACACAGGUGCUGCAUGGUUGUCGUCAGUCAGGUCGAGAUGUUGGGUUAAGUCCCGCAACGAGCGCAACCCUUGGGCUGGCCAGUUGCUACGAAAGGGCACUCUAAUGAGACUGCCGGUGACAAACCGGAGGAAGGUGGGGAUGACGUCAAGUCCUUCAUGGCCCUUGCGGGUAGGGCUUCACACGUCAUACAAUGGUCGGGACAGAGGGUCGCUAACCCGCGAGGGGGAGCCAAUCCCAGAAACCCGAUCGUAGUCCGACGUAGUCUGCAACUCGACUGCGUGAGGUCGGAAUCGCUAGUAAUCGCGGAUCAGCAUGUCGCGUAACGAUACCCCGGUCUUGCACACACACCGCCCGUCACACCAUGGGAGUGGGUUUUACCAGAAGUAGUUAGCCUAACCGUAAGGAGGGCGAUUACCAUUGCAGGGAUUCAUGAUCGGGUGUCAGAACAGCGUAACCC